GAUGAACGCUGGCGGCGUGCCUAAUACAUGCCAGUCGAGCGAACGGACGAGAAGCUUGCUUCUCUGAUGUUAGCGGCGGACGGGUGAGUAACACGUGGAUAACCUACCUAUAAGACUGGGAUAACUUCGGGAAACCGGAGCUAAUACCGGAUAAUAUUUUGAACCGCAUGGUUCAAAAGUAAAAGACGGUCUUGCUGUCACUUAUAGAUGGAUCCGCGCUGCAUUAGCUAGUUGGUAAGGUAACGGCUUACCAAGGCAACGAUGCAUAGCCGACCUGAGAGGGUGAUCGGCCAGACUGGAACUGAGACACGGUCCAGACUCCUACGGGAGGCAGCAGUAGGGAAUCUUCCGCAAUGGGCGAAAGCCUGACGGAGCAACGCCGCGUGAGUGAUGAAGGUCUUCGGAUCGUAAAACUCUGUUAUUAGGGAAGAACAUAUGUGUAAGUAACUGUGCACAUCUUGACGGUACCUAAUCAGAAAGCCACGGCUAACUACGUG
RNAcentral lists this ribosomal RNA (497 nucleotides) under uncultured bacterium. RNAcentral describes it as "partial 16S ribosomal RNA". It matches the Rfam family "Bacterial small subunit ribosomal RNA", at positions 28 to 507 of the family's 1533-position model. The record is from RNAcentral.